CUCUGUGGUGGGUGUGUUUGUUCAGUUUGUUCAGUCUAACGGGCAAAGUUUAGUGUAAUUCAUUGGCUGUACAAAGCAGAAACUGUUAGAAUGGAUCCUGCCCUUUUACUGCUUAUACUUUCCAACCUGGCUUACAUCCAGUGUCAGUCUCAACAGAAGGUCUCUCAGUGGCCCUCACAGACAGUGGUGACCCAGGGCUCCUCUGUGGAGCUCCAGUGCAGUCAGAGUGGCUCUGAUACCAACAUGUACUGGUACCGCCAGCAGAGCUCUACAGGACUACAGCUUGUCAUGUUUUCUCAGUAUCCGAGUGAGCCAGAGAGGGGAGAGAACAUCAGCGCUAGAUUCACCAGCACCAGACCGAAGAGGGAGAAUAUCUCUCUCACUAUCACUCAGACAGAGGAGUCUGACACAGGUGUUUACUUCUGUGCAGCGAGUCCCACAGCAAGUGACUCUGUCCCUCCUCCUGCAACAAAACACAAGAUUAUUAGACUAAGCCAAUCAUUUCGAAAACAUUUUCAUUUUGGUGUUAACUGA
Molecule: non-coding RNA, 534 nt
Organism: Conger conger (European conger)
Lineage: Eukaryota; Metazoa; Chordata; Actinopteri; Anguilliformes; Congridae
Source: the annotation of a RefSeq genome assembly